Molecule: long non-coding RNA, 1316 nt
Filed under: Sparus aurata (gilthead seabream)
Lineage: Eukaryota; Metazoa; Chordata; Actinopteri; Spariformes; Sparidae
Description: lncRNA (ENSSAUG00010009773.1)
Source: RNAcentral
CUCACGUCAGGUCUGAGAUCGUGUACGCAAAUCUGAGUCUGUGGAUUUGCGGUGCAGAACAGCAAAAUCUGGCUGAGUCUGAAAAUAACAAACCUCAGCUGUCAUUAAGCAUAAGCAGUCACAUAUUUAGAUCAGAUCAAAACGGAUUCUUAAAACGAAUAAAACAAAAAUAUUUGUUUAGAAAGCCCACGUUUUUACUGAUAGUCUACCACUUUUUUGUAAUAUAAAAUAUGAUAGGCUAAAUAGCCUAACAUGACAACUAAUUAACGGAAUACCUAAUAACCUGCUACAGAGCAGGAACGCAGACACAGUGCGCACACACGCACACGGGUCACAGUGGAGCUGUUCGGGCUGCUGAAGGGCAGGUGGCUCUGUCCCGGACCAGCAGGGGGAACGCUGCUGUAUACCCGGAGAAAGUGUGUGAUAUUAUUUUGGUCUGUCAAGUUUUGCACAACAUCGUAUUAGUGAACGGAGCCUUUGAUGUGUCGGCGCAGCCAGAUGAGCCAAUGCCCAUGGAACCGUGGCAGCACAGCCUCCACUGGGGGCUACACGGAGGACACAGGACCUCAUUCAUCACCUUUAAAACGACCUCUGCCGUGAUGAUGUUUGGUCUGGACGCAGCACCGGGGCCAGAGGGCACGCGCUCUGGGGAGGAGACCUCGCUGACAUGAUGCUGGUGUCUGGCUCUGAAACAUUUAAAAAUACAAUAAAAAUGUAUAUCCAUGUAACAUGUGUAAGCCUAAUUAUUUGUAAGAAAUGUGAACAGUCAGAGUUUGAUAGAUUUUACAAUGCAAGCAAAAGGGGGUUGUUAGUUACCAUUCUGCUCUGACACGACUGCGUCUGCGUCACCUCAGCCGGAGUCCGUUCCUCUGGCAACGCUGUUGACUGCCUCCGUUAUUCUCUUCCAUACAGCGUUUUUAUGACCUCCUUUAACUCCAUUUUUCAGACUGCCAAAAAGCACAUCUUUGUUUUGCUCCACCUCGGAUGUCAGGAUGCCGAUCUCCAUCUCAGAACAGUUUAUUUUCUUGCCAGUGUUUCUUCUCUCCAUGUUUGACGUCAGUGGGCGAGGCCUCCGAACCAGGAAUAUUUAAGGGCGUAACAUGUUAAUGACGAUCGAAUUCAGCCGCCGCAUUUAUCAAGACCCGAUCAUUCCUACGCUCAGAUUGGUCAGAUACGAAUGUUUCAUAAAUCACACGUGUGUCCUGUCGUACGACCAAUUCUGCGCUCAGAUCUGCGCCCGUUUUCACGCAAGAUUGAUAAAUGAGGGCCAAUGAGUCCACAUCAUUGUGGUCUUACAUGGUCCAAGUUCAAAUUAG